CCUACGGGAGGCAGCAGUAAGGAAUAUUGGUCAAUGGACGCAAGUCUGAACCAGCCAUGCCGCGUGAAGGAUUAAGGCCCUCUGGGUUGUAAACUUCUUUUAUAGGGGACGAAAAAAGGGCAUUCUUGCUCACUUGACGGUACCCUAGGAAUAAGCACCGGCUAACUCCGUGCCAGCAGCCGCGGUAAUACGGAGGGUGCAAGCGUUAUCCGGAUUUACUGGGUUUAAAGGGUGCGUAGGUGGGUUGGUAAGUCAGUGGUGAAAUCUUCGAGCUUAACUCGGAAACUGCCAUUGAUACUAUCAAUCUUGAAUCAUCUAGAGGUAAGCGGAAUAUGUCAUGUAGCGGUGAAAUGCUUAGAUAUGACAUAGAACACCAAUUGCGAAGGCAGCUUACUAUGGAUGUAUUGACACUGAGGCACGAAAGCGUGGGGGAUCAAACAGGAUUAGAUACCCUGGUAGUCCACGCCCUAAACGAUGGAUACUCGACAUUUGUGAUAUACUAUAAGUGUCUGNGNGAGNAUAUAUCCACCNGGAGACGACCGCGAGUAGUAACGUAAAGAAGUAGACGNGNGAGAGAGACGACGACGACGACGAGGGAGGAGG
RNAcentral lists this ribosomal RNA (603 nucleotides) under uncultured bacterium. Its description in RNAcentral is "bacterial SSU rRNA". The stretch from base 1 to 530 matches the Rfam family "Bacterial small subunit ribosomal RNA", at positions 338 to 873 of the family's 1533-position model. The record is from RNAcentral.